AGGGUCACAGGUAUUUCUACAAUGUA
RNAcentral lists this unclassified non-coding RNA (26 nucleotides) under Mus musculus (house mouse). RNAcentral's name for it is "oocyte_clustered_small_RNA4440". The record is from RNAcentral. Lineage: Eukaryota; Metazoa; Chordata; Mammalia; Rodentia; Muridae.